RNAcentral lists this ribosomal RNA (380 nucleotides) under uncultured bacterium. Its description in RNAcentral is "bacterial SSU rRNA". It matches the Rfam family "Bacterial small subunit ribosomal RNA", at positions 374 to 746 of the family's 1533-position model. The record is from RNAcentral.
GGCGCAAGCCUGAUCCAGCAAUGCCGCGUGUGUGAAGAAGGCCUUCGGGUUGUAAGGCACUUUUAUCAGGAGCGAAAUACCAUCGGUCAAUACCCGGUGGGGCUGACGGUACCUGAGGAAUAAGCACCGGCUAACUUCGUGCCAGCAGCCGCGGUAAUACGAAGGGUGCAAGCGUUAAUCGGAAUUACUGGGCGUAAAGGGUGCGUAGGCGGUNGUUUAAGUCUGUUGUGAAAUCCCCGGGCUCAACCUGGGAAUGGCAAUGGAUACUGGGCAGCUAGAGUGUGUCAGAGGAUGGUGGAAUUUCCGGUGUAGCGGUGAAAUGCGUANAGAUCGGAAGGAACAUCAGUGGCGAAGGCGGACAUCUGGGACAACACUGACNC